CAGUUCGGACUGAAGGCUGAAAUUCGCCUUCACGAAGUCGGAAUUGCUAGUAAUGGCAGGUCAGCAUACUGCCGUGAAUACGUUCCCGGGCCUUGUACACACCGCCCGUCACACCAUGAGAGUUAGGAAUACCCGAAGCCUGUGAGCUAACUUUUAGAGGCAGCAGUCGAAGGUAGAACUAAUGAUUGGGGUGAAGUCGUAACAAGGUACC
This 211-nucleotide ribosomal RNA is filed under the name uncultured bacterium. Its description in RNAcentral is "partial 16S ribosomal RNA". It matches the Rfam family "Bacterial small subunit ribosomal RNA", at positions 1289 to 1500 of the family's 1533-position model. The record is from RNAcentral.